Molecule: ribosomal RNA, 129 nt
Filed under: Triticum aestivum (bread wheat)
Lineage: Eukaryota; Viridiplantae; Streptophyta; Magnoliopsida; Poales; Poaceae
Description: partial small subunit ribosomal RNA
Source: RNAcentral
AUGAGAGAGGAGGAGAAGAGUGGGGUGAAGGAGGAGAUGGAGGGAAAGAGGGACAAGGACACGGUGACGGAGUUUCUUGAGGCGGAGGGUGGGAGCUUCUUGGAGAUGUUGGACUUCUGCCUGUCCUAG